CCCUUAUGUGGGGGAAGGACGGAUCGGGGGGGCUGGUUAACUUCCCCUGGUGAGGGUCAGGAUGGAAAAAAAUGCCCUCGAUACUACGUUACCCCCUGGGACACCCGGGGGUUGUAAGGGAGCAUCGUGAUCUCUAGGGAGGCAGCGGCAUGAUGGGCAGCCAAGGGGACUGCAGUGUCAGGGUGGCACUGAGGAUCCGCCCUCAGAGCAGUAAGGAACAAGCUGAAGGAUGUCAUGUGUGUACUGGGGUAUACCCAGGAGAGCCCCAGGUUCUUCUGGGUAAGGAUAAGGCUUUCACAUACGAUUAUGUGUUUGACAUGGACACUGAGCAGAUCAAAGUGUACGAGACUUGUGUACGAGGGCUGGUGGAGGGCUGCUUCCAAGGUUACAAUGCAACUGUUCUGGCCUAUGGACAGACUGGAGCAGGGAAAACACACACAAUGGGGACUGGAUUUGAACUGGCAGUAACAGAGGCAGAGCUAGGAAUUAUUCCUAGGGCAGUCCGCCAACUCUUUGGUACCAUCCAGGAGCGCAUAGCUGCUGCUAGUGAGAAUGGAAGGCCAGAACCCAGCUUUAAAGUUAGCACACAGUUCUUAGAGCUUUACAAUGAGGAGAUCUUGGAUCUCUUUGAUGUGUCACGUGACCCUGACUCCCGCCAUCGAAAAUCCAAUAUCCGGAUCCACGAGGAUGCCAGUGGUGGAAUCUAUGUCAGUGGAGCUAGCACCCGUAGUGUGAGCUCAGAUGCAGAGCUGUUACAGCUUCUAAAGGAAGGAGCUCUUUCCCGUACCACAGCCAGCACACAAAUGAACUCUCAGAGUUCGCGCUCACAUGCCAUCUUCACAAUCCAUCUACACCAGACACGGGUUUCUGAUUCAUGUCCGAUUGAUGCCCCUAAUUUGGAGUAUGAGACACUGACUGCCAAGUUUCACUUUGUGGAUUUGGCUGGAUCAGAGCGUUUGAAAAGAACAGGAGCAACUGGGGAGAGAGCAAGAGAAGGGAUAUCUAUUAACUGUGGCCUGCUGGCAUUGGGGAAUGUGAUCAGCGCACUGGGAGAUCAGAGUAAGAAGAUUCUCCAUGUUCCGUACAGAGAUUCCAAACUGACCCGUCUGCUACAAGACUCGCUUGGGGGUAACAGCCAGACUAUGAUGAUUGCUUGUGUCUCUCCAUCUGAUCGUGAUUUUAUGGAAACCUUGAACACUCUCAAAUAUGCUAACCGAGCACGGAACAUCAAGAACCGUGUGACAGCCAAUCAGGAACAGAGCGUCCAGCAAGUGCAGGCACUGAGAGCAGAGCUAGCACGACUACGGUUGGAACUGCAGGAGUACAAAUCGGGUCACCGUGUCCCUGGCUCAGAUGCACUGAGUGACAUGUGCGAGGAACUGUCCAUGCUGCGCAGUGAAAACUCAUCCCUGAGACUUCGGGUCACUGCUUUGCAGGAAGCAAUCAAGGCCAUCAACGCCCGUGUAACCCGUAUGGCCGGACAAGAAGCAGCCCGUCUUCUGCAGAGAGCUGGUGAAAGCAACGAAGAAAUCCAAGCUCUGAUACAAAACUAUAUCCAUGAAAUUGAAGAGCUGAGGACCCGGUUGGUGGAAAGUGAGGCAAUGAAUGAAUCGUUGAGACGGAGUCUUUCUCGAGCCAAUGCACGUGCUGCAGUUUCUGGACCUGCACAGCCCACUCCCACUCUAGACUCAGAGGUCAAUGCAGUUGUUCGUAGAGCAAAGGAAGAGGUACAAAGUCUGAGGCAAAAGGCUAGCCCAGAUGUUGGCAGCUACAAAAAGAGAACAAAAAAUGAAUUCGAAAAAUGUGAGGAAACAGAUGAGAACGAAGCAGAAGAGGAGUAUGAACAUGAAGAGAGCGAGGGUGAUGUGGAAGAGAGUGAGGAAAGUGGGGAGAGUGAGGCAGAAACAGACUCAGAGCCUGAAGAAAAAGGCUCACUCGGAGGAGACCUGGCUGAUUUAACAUGUGAGAUUGAAAUAAAGCAGCGUCUCAUAGAAGAACUGGAGCAGAGUCAGCGUCGGCUGCAGACACUCAAACUCCAAUAUGAGGAGAAGCUCCAGCAGCUACAGAGCCGGAUCCGUGAUACACAAAUGGAGAGGGAUCGAGUGCUCAGAGAGCUUAGCUCUAUGGAGUGUUAUACAGAGGAAAAAGCUAACAAGAUCCGUGCAGAUUAUGAGAAACGCUUACGAGAAAUGAAUCGUGACCUGCAGAAGCUUCAGUUAGCCCAGAGAGAGCAUGCGAGACUGUUAAAGAACCAAUCGCGAUAUGAACGAGAGCUACGUAAACUUCAGGGGGAGCUGAGUGAUAUGAAGAAAGCAAAGGCAGUGCUAAUGAAACAGAUGCGGGAGGAGCAACAGCGGCGAAAACUUGUGGAGUCUAAGAGGAACCGAGAGAUUGCUCAGCUGAAGAAAGAACAGCGCAGACAAGAGCUUCAAAUCCGGGCACUAGAAUCUCAAAAGAGACAGCAGGAGAUUGUGCUGAGGCGCAAGACACAGGAGGUCUCUGCUUUACGACGGCUCUCUAGACCCGCACCUGAUCGUUCCGUCAGCCGCCUUUCCUCCCUUCCAGACUCUGGAGCAGAGAUGUCUACUAGCACAACAUCUUCAGAACCAGACAGCAGCACACGCUCUGUCUCCAGCAUUGUCAGACAGUGGAACAGAAAGGCAACUAUGGACACGACACCAGUGACAAAUGGAACUCGUACACCAAGGAGAAAAGUGGUCCGACCUGGGCUUCCACUCAGCAAGGCUGCCCGAAUGAAAUGGCAGACACUGGAAAGGAGGGUUCAUGAAGUUGUUCUACAGAGGCUCACUCUUCUUAACCUUGAGAAUGACAUGGAAAGGCUGCUGAGGAAACGUGAAGAGCUCUCCCUCUUGCAAGAGGCAUUACUAAGCCGCACAGUUAUCCCCCCAGAAGGUAGCAGUGGAGAAGACGCAGUGCAACAGGAUGUUGCUGAAGAGUUGGAGGCAUUGACAGCUAAUAUUGAUUAUAUCAAUGACAGCAUUCGGGAAUGCCAGGCUUUGAUUGUACAGAUGGAAGAAACUAAGGAGGAUUUAGACCCUACUGAUACCUCGGUUGUUAUUAGCUCUUGCUCACUUACUGAAGCACGGCAUCUGCUUGAUAACUUCCUGCGGGCUUCUAUAGACAAGGGCCUGCAGGUAGCUCAGAAGGAUGCACAGAUCCGGAUUCUGGAAGCCCGCCUACGACAGACAGACAUGGCUGGCUUGGCACAAUCUCAGCUGUUAUUGGACAGAUCCGAGUGUCAAACACUGCAGAAUGAAAAUGGCUAUGCCAGCACAGAUGAAGAGGUUUCAGAAAUAAGCCAAGCAUCUGAUGGAAGCACCUCUUUUUGCAUGAAAGGAUCAAACAGUCAAGAUGACUUUAAGUGGAGGGGGGAACCCCGCCUUUCUUGGCAAGUGAAGGCUGUGUCUGCUGAGUCCCUGAGCCCAUUAUUAGAGGCCUCAACCAAAAACAUCACCAAAUCUCUAGCAUCACUGACUGAUAUUCUUGAAGAUGUUGGAGGAUUCUCCAGUGGAGCUCUACAGGGAAGGGGGUCACGUAGCCUUACCCUACCGAUCCGUGGAAACACAUUUCCAAGGCAGUCACGUGGUUCAAACACAUCCCCCCUGACACGCAGAAAAUCUUAUGACAGAGGACAACCCAGAACCAUGGAUUCCAAUCUGACACCCCCAUCAUCUCCCCCUAUGCGUCCCCGAAAUGAUAAAAAUGUUUUUUCCAGACUGACGAGCAACCAGAGCACAGGAACUGCAUUAGAUAAGUGUGAGGAGAGUGACAGUUCUUUCUCCGAGGCCUUCAGGGGUGUGAUUAGCCCUGUAGGGGGUGUUAAAGGAGCUAGAAUGGCCCCUUUGCAGUGUGUGGCUAUAGCAGAGGGGCAUACAAAGCCAGUGCUCUGUGUGGAUGCUACAGAGGAACUACUGUUCACAGGAUCAAAGGACCGUACCUGCAAGCUGUGGAACUUGGUGUCAGGCCAAGAGAUCGGCUCCCUCCGUGGCCAUCCCCAUAAUGUGGUGUCUCUGAAGCAUUGUCCUAACUCUGGUCUUGUGCUCACUGCAUCUGCUUCAUGUGUACGGGUCUGGGAUAUCCGCGACCCUUCUCGAUGUGUGCGGACUCUGUUGUCUUCAGGUCAGGUAGUAUCAGGCGACCCCUCCUCUGGAUUGGGCCUCCGCUCUGCAAGUAGCUCCCAGGGGGAAAUGCAGGUUAAUCAGAUUGCUCUUAACCCAGAUGGAACAAUCCUGUACACCGCUGCUGGGAAUGCAGUACGGGCUUGGGAGCUAAGCAGGUUGCAGCCUAUUGGGAAGCUUACAGGUCACAUGGCUCCCGUCAUGUGUUUGACUGUCAGCAAAACUCAGAGUGGCCGAGACCUUGUAAUCACUGGAUCCAAGAACCAUUACGUCAAGAUGUUCGAACUCCACUCGGGAUGGGGAGGGAGUGUUCCUCCCACCUAUAACCUUGAGCCUCCACAUUAUGAUGGGAUUGAGUGCUUGGCUGUGCAGAAUGGUAUACUCUGUAGUGGCUCCCGUGAUAACGGUAUAAAAAAAUGGGACCUCCAGCAACAUGCACUCAUACAGCAAGUACCUAAUGCACAUCGAGACUGGGUUUGCGCUUUGGGCUUUGUCCCUGGACGUUCCAUGAUGCUCAGCGGCUGCCGUGGGGGUAUAUUGAAGGUCUGGAAUAUGGACAAUUUCACACCUAUUGGAGAAGUCAAGGGUCAUGAAAGCCCCAUCAAUGCCAUGUGUGCUAACAGCCGUCAUGUCUUCACAGCAUCCAGUGACUGCCGGGUCAAGCUGUGGGUGUAUGUUCCUGGCCUUACUCCAUGUCUCCCACGACGGGUUCUGGCGAUCAAGGGCCGUGCCACUAGCCUUCCGUAAUAGUGCCCUUCAUCUCUCACCUCCCCACUGUUCCUCUAACAACCCCCAUUAUAAAGAUCAACCCCUGUUCCCCUUCAUUUGAGGUAUGGGACACUCUCCUCUAUGUAAACUGAGAUUUGACAGUGACCUCACAGUGAAGAUGUGGAGUGGAAGAAGAGGUCUUGUCCGGAUCACAUGACCCCUUUAACUCCUAAACCUUAAGCACAACCAGGGGGCUGACACUGGCUCAUUAGGAAGAUCUGACAGUCCAGUGGAAGAACAUGACCAGCUUUUUGCUUCUUCACAUCCACGGUGGUUGCUUGUUUGGGCCUUUUUUUAAAUAUAAUCAUUGUUUACCCAACCGGUUAUCCCCGUCACAGCAGAUCUACCUGCCCAGUGCAACUAAACAAGAUAUGCGUUGAGUUGCUGAGGAAAAGGUGGGAUAUAGGGUGGGGGAAAAGCAUGCAAAGAGAGAAAAAGAUGAGACCCAUCCUAAUUUAUUUAAAACUUUUGGAUACAAUUACAGCUGCCUUUAUAAUGCCCAAGUACCUCCUAGCAUGCCACAUCUAGGAACUGCCCCUUACAUAUGCUUGCCCUUGUACUGUCCACUUUACAAUUCUAAAACC
Spea bombifrons (plains spadefoot toad) is the source of this 5491-nucleotide RNA transcript. It is a transcript of the gene named kinesin family member 21B, with no coding region annotated. The transcript is spliced from 36 exons. The record is from RefSeq and is a predicted model, not a curated record. NCBI's taxonomy places the organism in Eukaryota, Metazoa, Chordata, Amphibia, Anura, Pelobatidae.